UGGUGAUAUCAGCACCUACGGCUACAGGCACUGUACUGAGCUUGAGUACCUCCUCCGAGCUAUAAAGGUCAAAUGCAUUGCCUGCAAACAAUACUUUCCAUUCUCCUGGUUGGGGUUGCGCCAGGUGGGCGAUUGCCCAUUCAAGUGUGAAUUGCAAAACAUCGCCCCAGGCUCGAGUGCCCCAAAAAAGUUAUGUGAUGAAGAGGAAACCGAGAGACCUAUGGCCGGCAACAAUAGUAUCCAUGGGAAAAGUAAGCGAAAGGUUCAUUUUGAGGUUGGUAAAGUGGGCAAGCACAUUUUUCACG
This is a long non-coding RNA of Panicum virgatum (switchgrass), 305 nucleotides long. RefSeq lists it as uncharacterized. NCBI's taxonomy places the organism in Eukaryota, Viridiplantae, Streptophyta, Magnoliopsida, Poales, Poaceae. The record is from RefSeq and is a predicted model, not a curated record. The transcript is spliced from 3 exons.